UGGGGAAUUUUGGACAAUGGGCGAAAGCCUGAUCCAGCAAUGCCGCGUGUGUGAAGAAGGCCUUCGGGUUGUAAAGCACUUUUGUCCGGAAAGAAAUCCUUGGCUCUAAUACAGUCGGGGGAUGACGGUACCGGAAGAAUAAGCACCGGCUAACUACGUGCCAGCAGCCGCGGUAAUACGUAGGGUGCAAGCGUUAAUCGGAAUUACUGGGCGUAAAGCGUGCGCAGGCGGUUUGCUAAGACCGAUGUGAAAUCCCCGGGCUCAACCUGAGAACUGCAUUGGUGACUGGCAGGCUAGAGUAUGGCAGAGGGGGGUAGAAUUCCACGUGUAGCAGUGAAAUGCGUAGAGAUGUGGAGGAAUACCGAUGGCGAAGGCAGCCCCCUGGGCCCAAUACUGACGCUCAUGCACGAAAGGCGUGGGGGAGCAAACAGGAUUAGAUACCCCUGGUAGUCCACGCCCCUAAAACGAUGUCAACUAGCUUGUUGGGGG
This 489-nucleotide ribosomal RNA is filed under the name uncultured bacterium. RNAcentral describes it as "partial 16S ribosomal RNA". It matches the Rfam family "Bacterial small subunit ribosomal RNA", at positions 355 to 830 of the family's 1533-position model. The record is from RNAcentral.